AAGUUGUAACAAGGUUUCCGGAGGUGAACCUGCGGAAGGAUCAUUAACACGUAUCCAAACGUAAAAAAACCCCCCCGGUGAACAUUAUCAAUCCUGCUCUUGUAACCCGCGUAGUUCGCAAUCUCUGGUAAAUCAUAGCCCGGAAAGUAGUUUUGAUUCCGAGACCUCUGGCUACGUGAGAACAUUGGAACAGUUACAAUCGAGCGGUAGUUUCAAAGAUUCCUGUAGACCGUACACUCGGGCAGGAGCUAUGCCAAAGGGUCCCCAUGCCCCCUUAUAACCCCACAGUUUAAUGUGAAGCUCAAUGUAAUACAUUGGGUAAAAAAACCGAACAACUGUUAACAAUGGAUAUCUUGGUUCUCA
RNAcentral lists this unclassified non-coding RNA (363 nucleotides) under fungal sp. Its description in RNAcentral is "partial internal transcribed spacer region". The stretch from base 1 to 46 matches the Rfam family "Eukaryotic small subunit ribosomal RNA", at positions 1786 to 1831 of the family's 1831-position model. Lineage: Eukaryota; Fungi. The record is from RNAcentral.